UGGGGAAUUGUUCGCAAUGGGCGCAAGCCUGACGACGCAACGCCGCGUGGAGGAUGAAGAUCUUCGGGUCGUAAACUCCUGUCGAGUGGGAAGAAUAGUCUCGGGGUAAAUAUCCCCGGGGCCUGACGGUACCACUAAAGGAAGCCCCGGCUAACUCCGUGCCAGCAGCCGCGGUAAUACGGGGGGGGCAAGCGUUGUUCGGAAUUACUGGGCGUAAAGGGCUCGUAGGCGGCCAACUAAGUCGGAUGUGAAAUCCCCAGGCUCAACCUGGGAACUGCAUCCGAUACUGGAUGGCUUGAAUUUGGGAGAGGGAUGCAGAAUUCCAGGUGUAGCGGUGAAAUGCGUAGAUAUCUGGAGGAAUACCGGUGGCGAAGGCGGCAUCCUGGACCAACAUUGACGCUGAGGAGCGAAAGCUAGGGGAGCAAA
Molecule: ribosomal RNA, 426 nt
Filed under: uncultured bacterium
Lineage: Bacteria
Description: bacterial SSU rRNA
Rfam family: Bacterial small subunit ribosomal RNA
Source: RNAcentral